AANGAUGGNNNCCCGNCUUGCUGGGUGGAUUAGUGGCGAACGGGUGAGUAACACGUGAGUAACCUGCCCUUGACUCUGGGAUAAGCCUGGGAAACUGGGUCUAAUACUGGAUAUGACUUCUCACCGCAUGGUGGGGGGUGGAAAGAUUUAUUGGUCUUGGAUGGNNUNNCGGCCNUAUCNNCUUGUUGGUGAGGUAAUGGCUCACCAAGGCGACGACGGGUAGCCGGCCUGAGAGGGUGACCGGCCACACUGGGACUGAGACACGGCCCAGACUCCUACGGGAGGCAGCAGUGGGGAAUAUUGCACAAUGGGCGCAAGCCUGAUGCAGCGACGCCGCGUGAGGGAUGACGGCCUUCGGGUUGUAAACCUCUUUCAGUAGGGAAGAAGCGAAAGUGACGGUACCUGCAGAAGAAGCGCCGGCUAACUACGUGCCAGCAGCCGCGGUAAUACGUAGGGCGCGAGCGUUAUCCGGAAUUAUUGGGCGUAAAGAGCUCGUAGGCGGUUUGUCGCGUCUGCCGUGAAAGUCCGGGGCUUAACCCCGGAUCUGCGGUGGGUACGGGCAGACUAGAGUGCAGUAGGGGAGACUGGAAUUCCUGGUGUAGCGGUGAAAUGCGCAGAUAUCAGGAGGAACACCGAUGGCGAAGGCAGGUCUCUGGGCUGUAACUGACGCUGAGGAGCGAAAGCAUGGGGAGCGAACAGGAUUAGAUACCCUGGUAGUCCAUGCCGUAAACGUUGGGCAC
This 740-nucleotide ribosomal RNA is filed under the name Gram-positive bacterium SY240. RNAcentral's name for it is "bacterial SSU rRNA". It matches the Rfam family "Bacterial small subunit ribosomal RNA", at positions 65 to 816 of the family's 1533-position model. The record is from RNAcentral.